Long non-coding RNA from Mesocricetus auratus (golden hamster), 218 nucleotides. RefSeq lists it as uncharacterized. The record is from RefSeq and is a predicted model, not a curated record. NCBI's taxonomy places the organism in Eukaryota, Metazoa, Chordata, Mammalia, Rodentia, Cricetidae. The transcript is spliced from 2 exons.
GUAGUUUCGAGGACUGUAGACAGAAACUUUUGCUGCGACCAGAAAAGUGAAGGAGCACAGAGAGUGGCUAUAAAAGGAGGGCAUUUGUCCACCCAAGCAUGCCCUCAGUCCUCAGUCCUCAUGAGGCCUUGGAUGGCCGGCAGCCUGCGGCGGCUCAGAGUGUUCACUGUCAAAUCUUCACUGUUUCUCUCCUUGGGAUAAAGUCUUUGCUCCAUUCA